Molecule: ribosomal RNA, 253 nt
Filed under: uncultured bacterium
Lineage: Bacteria
Description: partial 16S ribosomal RNA
Rfam family: Bacterial small subunit ribosomal RNA
Source: RNAcentral
UACAGAGGUCUCAAGCGUUGUUCGGAAUCACUGGGCGUAAAGGGUGCGUAGGCCGCACGGUAAGUCAGAGGUGAAAUCCCGGAGCUCAACUUCGGAAUUGCCUCCGAUACUGCCGUGCUUGAGGACUGGAGAGGAGAUUGGAAUUCACAGUGGAGCAGUGAAAUGCGUAGAUAUCUGGAGGAACACCGGUGGCGAAGGCGGCAUCCUGGACCGGCACUGACACUGAGGAGCGAAAGCCAGGGGAGCAAACGGG